GACGAACGCUGGCGGCGUGCUUAACACAUGCAAGUCGAACGGAAAGGCCCUGCUUUUGUGGGGUGCUCGAGUGGCGAACGGGUGAGUAACACGUGAGUAACCUGCCCUUGACUUUGGGAUAACUUCAGGAAACUGGGGCUAAUACCGGAGAGGAGCUCCUGCUGCAUGGUGGGGGUUGGAAAGUUUCGGCGGUUGGGGCUGGUUUCGCGGCUUAUCAGCUUGUUGGUGGGGUAGUGGCUUACCAAGGCUUUGACGGGUAGCCGGCCUGAGAGGGUGACCGGCCACAUUGGGACUGAGAUACGGCCCAGACUCCUACGGGAGGCAGCAGUGGGGAAUAUUGCACAAUGGGCGGAAGCCUGAUGCAGCAACGCCGCGUGCGGGAUGACGGCCUUCGGGUUGUAAACCGCUUUCGCCUGUGACGAAGCGUGAGUGACGGUAAUGGGUAAAGAAGCACCGGCUAACUACGUG
RNAcentral lists this ribosomal RNA (468 nucleotides) under uncultured bacterium. RNAcentral's name for it is "partial 16S ribosomal RNA". It matches the Rfam family "Bacterial small subunit ribosomal RNA", at positions 28 to 507 of the family's 1533-position model. The record is from RNAcentral.